Molecule: ribosomal RNA, 447 nt
Filed under: uncultured bacterium
Lineage: Bacteria
Description: bacterial SSU rRNA
Rfam family: Bacterial small subunit ribosomal RNA
Source: RNAcentral
UCGGGAAUUUUGGGCAAUGGGCGAAAGCCUGACCCAGCAACGCCGCGUGAAGGAUGAAGUAUUUCGGUAUGUAAACUUCGUAAGAAUAGGAAGAAUAAAUGACGGUACUAUUUGUAAGGUCCGGCUAACUACGUGCCAGCAGCCGCGGUAAUACGUAGGGACCAAGCGUUGUUCGGAUUUACUGGGCGUAAAGCGCGUGUAGGCGGGUCGUUAAGUUGGGGGUGAAAUCCCGAGGCUCAACCUCGGAACUGCCUUCAAAACUGGCGACCUGGACCUAAGUAGAGGCAAGUGGAAUUGCGAGUGUAGAGGUGAAAUUCGUAGAUAUUCGCAGGAACACCAGUGGCGAAGGCGACUUGCUGGACUUAUGGUGACGCUGAGACGCGAAAGCGUGGGGAGCAAACAGGAUUAGAUACCCCCGUAGUCCCUGAGCGGGCUGGCAAGGCGCAU